RNAcentral lists this long non-coding RNA (345 nucleotides) under Anser cygnoides (Swan goose). RNAcentral describes it as "lncRNA (ENSACDG00005012559.1)". The record is from RNAcentral. Lineage: Eukaryota; Metazoa; Chordata; Aves; Anseriformes; Anatidae.
AAUGGAAUGCUGUAACUACAGUCUGUUGAAAGAGAACUGCAGGAAUCCACCCCAUAAAUAAAUUAAUCCUGCAUGUGAGCAGAUAGAUAGACCAUCUACUUUUACAAUGAAGAAGACCAGCUGAAGAAGAAGGACCGACAAGACUCAUCAGAAUACAUAUAAGACAAAAGUGCAUCAUGACCUGAAAGAAUAGCUGCAAGAGUCUGCCUGUCAGGUGGAAGUAUCCACUAGAUCUGAUCCUGUGUAUUGGGAGUCUUGUGGAAGGAGUUGUAUUCAAAGAGUCAGUGAUCCUGAGCAAGCCAUGUCUGCUCUGCAGGGUCCUGUACUCAGGGCUUGAAAAGCCCA